GCUUGGUCUUAUGAGGAAUCAUCCUUAAAAGAAGAAAAAACAAAUUUAGAAUACCAAAGACGAAACCAAAAACAACAAAAGGGCACCUAUAUGUUUCAUUUGUACCAGCAAACAUAUUAUACAAUAAAUAUGCACUAAAAACCAAAUCAUAAAGGUAUAAGAACAGCUUUUGAUUCUAGACAUUCCAGCAAUAAUGCAUAUUUUGACUAUUAAUUAACAUAACAAACAAUUCCCGAUUGAAACUAAACAAAUAGCAUCCCUAAAAAGCACAAUUCACUCGUCUCCCAACUCAAAUGUACAUAGAAAGAUUCAACUUAGUGCAUAACUUUCAAAUCCUAUAUAGCCCAAAUAGAUAAGCAAGAAACUCCUUAGUUUAAAUAGAAGCAUCCUAUCUUUGGGCAGCGAAGACUAAGGAGAAUGAACUCAUGAUUCUACAGAAAGGUAAGCUCUCUAAACUAAACUCGGCAACUUAGAAGGUCUACAAAUUUUUGUCUAACUUCUAAAUUGCAAAAAAAUCAGAGAUGGGAUUUUCUCCUACAGUCAAAUUUCAUUGACUAAUUUAAUUAAAGAACAGAAAAGAAAACCCAG
RNAcentral lists this unclassified non-coding RNA (588 nucleotides) under Hevea brasiliensis (rubber tree). Lineage: Eukaryota; Viridiplantae; Streptophyta; Magnoliopsida; Malpighiales; Euphorbiaceae. The record is from RNAcentral.